GACAGCAGCAGCCACGGUAAUACGGAGGGUGCAAGCGUUAUCCGGAUUUAUUGGGUUUAAAGGGUCCGUAGGCGGAUCUGUAAGUCAGUGGUGAAAUCUCACAGCUUAACUGUGAAACUGCCAUUGAUACUGCAGGUCUUGAGUAAAUUUGAAGUGGCUGGAAUAAGUAGUGUAGCGGUGAAAUGCAUAGAUAUUACUUAGAACACCAAUUGCGAAGGCAGGUCACUAAGAUUUAACUGACGCUGAUGGACGAAAGCGUGGGGAGCGAACAGGAUUAGAUACCCCAGUAGUCCCUGUCUCUUAUAC
This 306-nucleotide ribosomal RNA is filed under the name uncultured bacterium. RNAcentral's name for it is "partial 16S ribosomal RNA". It matches the Rfam family "Bacterial small subunit ribosomal RNA", at positions 507 to 807 of the family's 1533-position model. The record is from RNAcentral.